AUGAACGCUGGCGGCGUGCCUAAUACAUGCAAGUCGCGCGAACAGACGAGGAGCUUGCUCCUCUGACGUUAGCGGCGGACGGGUGAGUAACACGUGGAUAACCUACCUAUAAGACUGGGAUAACUUCGGGAAACCGGAGCUAAUACCGGAUAAUAUAUUGAACCGCAUGGUUCAAUAGUGAAAGACGGUUUUGCUGUCACUUAUAGAUGGAUCCGCGCCGCAUUAGCUAGUUGGUAAGGUAACGGCUUACCAAGGCAACGAUGCGUAGCCGACCUGAGAGGGUGAGCGGCAACAGUGACACGAAAACACGGCCCAGCCUCCUACGGGAGGCACCAGUAGGGAUUUUUCCGCAAUGGGCAAACGCCUGACGGAGCACCGCCGCGGGAUGGAGAAAGGUCUGCGGAUCGAAAAACUCUUUUAUGAGGGAAAAAAAAAUGGUUAAGUACCUAUGCACGUCUUGACGGUACCUAAUAAGAAACCCACGCCUAACUCCGUC
RNAcentral lists this ribosomal RNA (496 nucleotides) under uncultured bacterium. RNAcentral's name for it is "partial 16S ribosomal RNA". It matches the Rfam family "Bacterial small subunit ribosomal RNA", at positions 29 to 507 of the family's 1533-position model. The record is from RNAcentral.